Molecule: RNA transcript, 6311 nt
Organism: Peromyscus californicus insignis
Lineage: Eukaryota; Metazoa; Chordata; Mammalia; Rodentia; Cricetidae
Gene: Cd320
Gene name: CD320 molecule
Exons: 8
Source: RefSeq, a predicted model, not a curated record
CUAUAGACCAAACUGCACCCCCCCCCCUUCCCCAAAACAGGGUUUCUCUGUGUAGUUUUGGUGCCUGUCCUGGGCCUCGCUCUGUAGACCAGGCUGGCCUCUAACUCACAGAGAUCUGCCUGGCUCUGCCUCCCAAGUGCUGGGAUUAAAGGCGUACGCCACAACCGCCCGGUGUGGCAUCAUCUCUUCAUCUGUGUUUUGGUUGGUCUUUGAGCAGCUCUGGGAGGUCAUCUUGGAGAGACUAAGCACUCUCUUAGGCUCAUUGAGAAUUGGCUGUGAACUCUAGGCAAUUCAUAAGUACAUUGCAUUGCUCUUUGCAAAUCCAGGGUCUGCCCAAUACCCUAGAUGAUACCUCCACCAAGAUCCUGAUCCUCAAAAGCAUGAUGCUCCACUCCCUUUCCUGGGCUGUCCCAUUUACCCUGUUUGCAUCUCUCUGCAUCUGAACACCAUUGUAUAUUGUUUCUCUUUCUUCUGGAAAUUGGUGAGACAGUACACACCAAAAGUAGUUAUAACGUCCAACAUUUUACAGUGGUGAGAUACCAUCCAUCUGUAAGUAGAACCUUUGUGUGAAAGUCUGGACUUGAAGGCUACAUUUUGGAAAAGUUGCCCACUGAGGGACAGUGACUUGUCCCCAGCCCUGCUGAGAGGUAGUGGCAUAGAUUCUGAAGGUAGAACUUCAGGAAACAAUGUGAAGAAGAAAACACUAAACUGGGUGGUACAUGACUGUAUCCUCAAUACUUAGGACUCCACAGCAGGAUGAUCAGUUUUGGGCCAGCUUGCGUUAUAUAUUGAGAAACUAUCUCAGACCAACAGAACACUACCACCACAAAUCACUAGUCAUACUGGAUAGCAGAGUUAAUGCACCCACUGUAUACAAGUGGGAUGAGAAAACCCAAAGGCCUCCAAUCUGUAUCUAUCCCCGACUGCCCAAGGAUGAGGAUGUCAGAAUAAAGUGUCUCUCAAGUCUGUGAGAACUAGAGGUAAUGAGAUUGGCAUGGAAUCCAAGUGGAUGGGACAGCUCAGGUUGGAAGCCAGGAAUUACCUUCAUUCAUUUGUUUAUUCCAUCAUUCCUUCACGACAUGUGCCAGACAUCAAGGACACAACAGUCAGCAACCCAACAUACUGACCCACCUGCAGCUGGCAUUCUAUUGGGUAAUUAGACAAUAAGGUGAAAUAAAGUAAAUGAAUCAUCAAAUCUGUAGGUGGCACCAGAGAGGCUGGAGGAGGUGCCUGCUGGGGAGUGUUCACAGGGUGUGGCUGCCAUGUUCAUUGGGACCAUUGGGCAGUUGUAUUUGCAGUAGUUUGCAUGUGAAGUUUAGGUCAAAAUUGGUAAGUUCAUUUAUUGACCUGCAAGUUUACUAUUUCAAGUUGAUGAGGUUGUUAUUUUCUUGGUCCUGGAGAUUAAACCUAGAGCCUCCUGAUUACUUAGGCAAGCACUCUACCUCAAUUAUUCCCCUGGUUCCUGACCUGUUUUGGGUGACUUUUAUUCUGAGAUAGGAUCUCCUUAAAUUGCUUAAGUUGGCCUUGUGAUCCUCUUAAGAGGAAGAGUAGCUUCCUGUAUAAUAGCUGGGAGUACAGGCCCAGGGUUACCAACCCAUCAGACUGCUGCUGGGAAAAAGCCUGGAAGAGACGUAAGUUCUUGGUUCCCUUGUAUUCUGGUACUUACGGUCCAGGCUCGCAGGUGCCAUUCCCACUGCCUUUAUGUGCGCGUGCGCGAGAGUCAGAACGGCUUUCUCAGACUGCGUGUAGCCGCCGCGGCUGGAGCACAGUACGGCUAGCGGUUGGAUGGCGCGGGGCGGAGCGGGGCGGGCAGCGGCCCUGGGCCUGGCGCUGCGGCUGCUGCUUUUGCUUGGACUAGGCGUAGAGGCUGCUCCGGCCCCGGCCCUGGCCCCAACCCAAGUCCAGGUCUCUGGGCUGGUCACCUGGCACCUUCCUGCAGCAGGCCCCCGAGCUGGCUCGUGCCCGACAGACAACUUCCAGUGUAUUACCAAUGGCUACUGUGUGCCCGUCUCCUGGCGCUGUGAUGGGGACCCAGACUGCUCUGAUAGCAGUGAUGAGGAGGAGUGUAGGAUUGAGCCAUGUGCUCAGAAAGGGCAGUGCCAACCACUGGCUACCCUUCCUUGCUCCUGUGACAACAUCAGUGGUUGCCCUGCUGGCUCUGACAAGAACCUUCUCAACUGCAGCCGCCAGCCCUGUCAGGAGGGUGAGCUGCGUUGCAUGUUGGGCGAUGUCUGUAUCCCACACACAUGGCACUGUGAUGGCCACCCAGACUGUCCCGACUCCAGUGAUGAGCUCAGCUGUGACACCAACAUAGAAACUGACAAGAUCUUCCAGGAGGAGAAUGCCACAACUACAAGGACUCCUAUGACCCUGGAGAAUGAGACCUCUCUCAGGAAUGCAACAGUUGCCUCUGCUGGGAACCCUUCGCGAAACCCAAAUGCCUAUGGGGUUAUUGCAGCUGCUGCCUCUGUUUCCCUUGGCCUGGGCAGCCUGGGGUCUCUUCUGGAUCCCCUUUCACCUUCUAAGGGAGCCUUCAGCCAAGAGAACAUGGGAUGGUGUUCUGGACAUGUCCUCCGAUACUCCGCCUUCUGCAGAAAGUCAGGUUGGGUGUUGAGUCCACCUGUGUUAACAGUGGGCUUAACAGAAGAGGAGGAGAGCUGAGGUGGUGUCUCCUCAUUUGAGAGUCAUCUGUCAUGGCUUCUUCUUCUGUGACAUGGAAGCUGGGCAAUCCUGAUAUGAACUUGGCUAUUCCCUGUUGUUGCAAGGCCAUAAUCACAGCACUUGGGAAGGCGAGGUAGGAGAAUUAGAAGUAAUAGGCUUGAUGGUACAUACCUGUAAUCCUAGCUACUGGGAAGGUUAAGAUGUGAAGAUCUGGAGUUCAAGGAAUGUCCGGGCUAUUCAGGGCGACCUUGUUUUCUCUCUUCCCCAGUUGUAGUUGGUUGAUGUUUUGUGAAAUAGUUUUGUUCUAGGCUAGCAGGUUGUUUACUGUCUAGCGUUGAGUUAGCCCUGGGAGGGAGGGGCUGUCCCGAGGUGAUAACCGAGGUCCCAGAUACCUGAGCAUGAAUAAUACAGAAAACAAGAAAAUGCAGUUAAUGUACAACUUGACUUCUGAAUAACAAGGCAAAGCUCUUCUCAGACUCUUAGCCCAUAAAUUCGUAAGUAAAAUGGUGGGGACUGUUGGAGUCCCCUCAACUGGGAGAGGAGAUAGCUCUCGGCAUCUUUGGUGGCGCCUAUUAACCUGGGGUCUCAUGAUGAGUAUCGGAAUUCUGAGGCUGUGCAAGCAAGAGGACCUGAGUUCAGAUCCCCAAUACCCAUGUAGAAAGCUGGAUUUGCCUGUAAUCUUUUUGCUGAGGGUGGGUAUGAAGACAGGAGGAUGCCAGAGACUUGCUGGCCAGAUAGUCUAGCCUGAGAGCUUGAGAUUCAGUCAGAAAUCUUGUCUCAAAAAUAAGGAGGGACUGGGGAUAUGUUUCAGUGUUUAAAGCACUUGUUGCACAAGCAUGGAAACAUAGUUUGGAUCCCCAAAACCCAUGUAAAUGUGGGGUGGGUUUGUUGGCCUGCCUAUAAUUUUAGCCUUGAGGCAGGGACAGGAUCCCCAGAGCAAGCUAGCUAGUGAGAUCCUGUCUCAUUGAAUAUGAUGGAAGAAUAAUCCAGGAUGAUUCCUGUCAUCAAUGUCAGGUGUCCACAUACACAUGCAUGCAUAGACAUACAUGUGGACUCUUUAAUAUGAGCCCACACACAGGCAUACAUGCACACUCCCCCAUACACUCACAUUUUUUUUUUUUUUUGUUUUUUUUGGUUUUUUUUCGAGACAGGGUUUCUCUGUGUAGCUUUGCGCCUUUCCUGGAACUCGCUUUGGAGACCAGGCUGGCCUCGAACUCACAGAGAUCCGCCUGGCUCUGCCUCCCCAGUGCUGGGAUUAAAGGCGUGCGCCACCACCGCCUGGCAACACUCACAUUUUUUAACCUUGGGCUUCAAUAUACAUGUAUAUACAUAUAUACUUGCACAUAUGCUCCUGCACAUGCAACUAUACACAUACUCUCUUGAGCUCUCCCCACCCCAACAAAUCUCAACAAAAGGAAUUUAUGGAGCUCUGAUGCCUGGUUCCUGGUAGACAGUGAUUGGCUACUGAUAAAGAUGCUGAAUGCAAAGGGAAGGAAUGUGCACCAGGAGGGCUUCCUGAAGGUGGGAACUGCUUUGGCUCUGGAACCCUGCUCUCCCAGUCCCUUACAGGGGAAGGUGGAUGAAGCAGAAUCUGGAUUUGGGCAGUGUGUUGGGGCUGGGUUUUUGAAAUAGCAGUUGAUGCUUCAGCCGGAAUGGGGAUGCAUUAACUGAUGGUAGAGCCUCUUGGAGGUAGGUAGGGAACAAGGCAUUCCUUGGCCCUUUAGGCUGACACUUGGAUCCCCAGUUUGACCAACAAAAUGUUGCAGAGAGCCACAGCAGGCCAUUUCCAACUGGGAGAAAAGCACUUCUGUAACUUCAGCUUUUAGAUAGGAAUAUUUUGAGUUGCAGGCUAGCUCGGACCACAUAGUGAGAUUCUAUCUAUCAUCCAUCUGUCUGUCUAUCUCUAUCUAUCUGAAAUUAGGAAGAUGAUUUUUGGUUUUAGGCUAGUUAAGGGAGAAAGGUGGUCCUUUUACUUUUAGCUAUGUACUGCACCUGUCAGUCACAGGCCACAGUUGGUCAGGAUAGUGUUGGGUCCAUGCUGGGCUAUAAAUUCACGUUACCUGUGCAGACAUUUGAGAUCUGGAGUUAUUGGAGUAUUUGGGUUCUCAUUGGAGCAAACUACUUGAUACUUGGUGGUUCCAAACAACUUGCUGUGUAUGAUGCUCAUAUAUUUCAUUUGAACAGAAUGUCACUCUGUAGUAGAGGCUAGCCUCAAACUCUGACUGAUCUGGCUCAGUUUUCCCAAUAUUGGGGUUAUUGCUAUGUUCCACCACAUCUGGCCUGCCAUGGUGUUCUGUCAGUGUGGUUCUGCAGUGUGUGGUUGUCCCAGGUAGUUCAGCUACCCUCUGGGGUUAGGGCUGGCUUUGUAUCAACAUGUGUGGAUAUCUUUUGUCUGUAUGUGAGAGUUGGGCUCCUUCAUGUGCCUACUGGAUUUAAGUGGCUGUUAAGGCAUUGGGAGUCCUAAGGUGUAAAGCAGAGAGGUUGCCCAGUUAGGAUCUCUCACUUGGAAAUAGGGUCUCAUGUAACUCAUGAUGGUCUUGAACUCCUCAUAUAGCUGAAGAUGACUGAACUCUUGUUUCUGCUUGCCUUCCUCUCCCCAGUGCUAGGAUUAUAAGUAUGUACUACCAUGCCUGGCUUUUGUGGAGUGCUAGGGAUGGAACUCAAGGCUUUGUGUAUGCCAGGUGUCUGCCUACAGCCAGGUGUAGUUGUUCUUUUUUGUAAUCCCAAGUAUUACAAGUGGUGAGAUUACAAGAGUGAGUUGAGGCAGGGGGAUUACCUCAGGUUCCAAUACAGAUUACACUUUGUUUAUGUAGACACUUUACUGAGCUACGUCCCUCGUCACAUCUUUUUUCUCCUUUACCCUUACUGUUUUACUUAGGGGAAAGGGUGGCCCUACUUUGGCAAACAGGAAGGAUUCCUAGGCAACUGGAGUGCCAUUCCUACCCCAGUCAUGGACUUGGACAUGGGAGCAUAUUGACAUUUGAGGAUAUGGCCAUCAACUUCUCUCAGGAGGCAUGGGAAUGUCUGGACUCUACACAGUGGGCUUUGUACAGGAAUAUCAUGUUGAAGAACUACAGCAACCUGGUCUCUAUGGGUCUCACAGUAACAAAACCAGAGCUGAUCAACUCUCUUGAACAAAACAAAGAGCCCUGGAAGGUGAACACAGGACACACAGAAGACAAAGAACAAGAUAAGUCAGAAUAAAGCAAUUGCAUAGGAGGGACACUGAAGGCAAGUAAGAAUUCAGACCUGUAGUGGGAUUUGUGAAGAUCUUCUUCACUUGAAAUGAUCUAAAAAUAAACUUUUAAUAAUCUCCUUAAAGAAUAUGGAAGAUGAUUCAUUGCCAUAUCCUAGAAUGUUAGUGAGUCCUUAAUUUAAUUAUCUUGAAAUGAAAACUCAUUCAAGCCAUAUUUUGACUGUGUAUGAUAGACUAUUCCUCUUUAUCAUUUCAUGUCUUUUUUAUGCUUUCAUGCCUGCAUUACAUGGUUUUCAUUGUUAUGUAAUAUUUAAUGAAAGCAGGAAGUAGAAAAUUUUACAGCUCUACUCAUUUUUGAAAAUUGCAUAGUUGUUUCUUUGCCUUUUGAUUCUGUAGCAAUUUAUAUGUAAUUUUAUUUAUGCAAAAAAAUCAUUAAAUAUGUUUUGUGCACAAA